GUUGGUUGAAAAUCACCCGCAGACUUGCCCGUGACCAUAGGUGAGAUUAAGCACCAAAGUCAAUGCCCUCUCAUUUACCGCCCACGCUUUGGUGUGGGGAAGUGAAACCCAGGCCCGACAUGC
Molecule: small nucleolar RNA, 123 nt
Organism: Sorex fumeus (smoky shrew)
Lineage: Eukaryota; Metazoa; Chordata; Mammalia; Eulipotyphla; Soricidae
Product: small nucleolar RNA ACA64
Exons: 1
Source: RefSeq, a predicted model, not a curated record